AGGACCGGAGUGGACGCAUCACUGGUGUUCGGGUUGUCAUGCCAAUGGCACUGCCCGGUAGCUAAAUGCGGAAGAGAUAAGUGCUGAAAGCAUCUAAGCACGAAACUUGCCCCGAGAUGAGUUCUCCCUGACCCUUUAAGGGUCCUGAAGGAACGUUGAAGACGACGACGUUGAUAGGCCGGGUGUGUAAGCGCAGCGAUGCGUUGAGCUAACCGGUACUAAUGAACCGUGAGGCUUAACCUUACAACGCCGAAGGUGUUU
Molecule: ribosomal RNA, 261 nt
Filed under: Escherichia coli
Lineage: Bacteria; Pseudomonadati; Pseudomonadota; Gammaproteobacteria; Enterobacterales; Enterobacteriaceae
Description: partial 23S ribosomal RNA
Rfam family: Bacterial large subunit ribosomal RNA
Source: RNAcentral